RNAcentral lists this microRNA precursor (98 nucleotides) under Myotis brandtii (Brandt's bat). RNAcentral describes it as "mir-544 microRNA precursor family". It matches the Rfam family "mir-544 microRNA precursor family". The record is from Rfam by way of RNAcentral. Lineage: Eukaryota; Metazoa; Chordata; Mammalia; Chiroptera; Vespertilionidae.
AUCACCUGGGGAUUUUGUUAAAAUGCAGAUUCUUAUUCAGUAGGUUGGAGAUGGGGCCUGAGAUUCUGCAUUUCUAACAAGCUCUCAGGUGGUGAAUG